Molecule: ribosomal RNA, 605 nt
Filed under: Cautires reverandi
Lineage: Eukaryota; Metazoa; Arthropoda; Insecta; Coleoptera; Lycidae
Description: partial 16S ribosomal RNA
Rfam family: Bacterial large subunit ribosomal RNA
Source: RNAcentral
CAUGUCCUUUUGAAUUUAAUUUAAGGUCUAAUCUGCUCAAUGAUAUUUAAAUAGCCGCAGUAUUUUGACUGUGCAAAGGUAGCAUAAUAAUUAGUUUCUUAAUUGGGAGCUGGAAUGAAUGAUUGGACAAGAAAAUUUCUGUCUCUUUCUUAAUUUUAUUGAAUUUUAUUUUUAAGUGAAAAAGCUUAAAUUUUUAUAAAAGACGAGAAGACCCUAUAGAGUUUAAUAAUUAAUUUUAAUAAGAGUUUAGUAUUAUUAUUUAGGAUUAAAUUAUUUGGUUGGGGUGAUUAAAAGAUUAAAAAAAUUCUUUUAUAAAUUUAAUUGAAUAUUUUCAAUUUUUAAAUCUAUAAUUUAUAAAAUUAAAAUAAAUUACCUUAGGGAUAACAGCGUAAUUUUUCUUUAAAGUUCUUAUUAAUAGAAAAGUUUGCGACCUCGAUGUUGGAUUAAAAUUAAUUUUUGGUGCAGUAACUAAAAAAUUAGGUCUGUUCGACCUUUAAAAUUUUACAUGAUCUGAGUUUAGACCGGUGUGAGCCAGGUCGGAUUCUAUCUUUAGAAAUUUUUUAUAUUUUAGUACGAAAGGACCAAAUAUAAAUUAAAUUAAUUGU